AACGAACGCUGGCGGCAUGCCUAACACAUGCAAGUCGAACGAGACCUUCGGGUCUAGUGGCGCACGGGUGCGUAACGCGUGGGAACCUGCCCUUAGGUUCGGAAUAACUCCCCGAAAGGGGUGCUAAUACCGGAUAAUGUCUUCGGACCAAAGAUUUAUCGCCUUUGGAUGGGCCCGCGUUGGAUUAGCUAGUUGGUAGGGUAAAAGCCUACCAAGGCGACGAUCCAUAGCUGGUCUGAGAGGAUGAUCAGCCACACUGGGACUGAGACACGGCCCAGACUCCUACGGGAGGCAGCAGUGGGGAAUAUUGGACAAUGGGCGAAAGCCUGAUCCAGCAAUGUCGCGUGAGUGAUGAAGGCCUUAGGGUUGUAAAGCUCUUUUACCCGGGAUGAUAAUGACAGUACCGGGAGAAUAAGCGCCGGCUAACUCCGUG
This 433-nucleotide ribosomal RNA is filed under the name uncultured bacterium. RNAcentral describes it as "partial 16S ribosomal RNA". It matches the Rfam family "Bacterial small subunit ribosomal RNA", at positions 29 to 507 of the family's 1533-position model. The record is from RNAcentral.